GGGGGGGUCCCAAGAAUAUGACCAGAGAGAAAUUAGAUUAUACCCCAUUUGUGGUUAAUGUGCUUGGUGCUGUCAGUUCUUGAGGGGCAUAUGUGUCUGUCUUAUGGCCAUCCUUGGGAGUGGAUCUGGAUCUUGGAAGGACUGCGUCUUUUUGUCUUUCUUUUGAGGACAUCUGUUUCAUCCAAGUUGUUUAAGUUAUAAACAACUUACUUCCUUGAGUUCUGAGUCACUGAAUAGAACCUUUAGUUUUGAACCUUUAGUUCAAAAGAAGAAAAAGGUUAAUAAAUUUACAUGCUUUUCUCUUGUAAGCCUGUGUCUUGUUAUAGGGGCACCGUGUUAGCUUUUUGUCACUGUGACCAAAAGACCUAACAAGAACAACUUAAGAAGAAAAGUUUAAUUUGGCUCACAGCUUCAGAGGUUCAGUCCCUGGUCAGCCGUCUCUGUAGAUCUGGGCCUUGAGGUAAGGUCUUGAGGUGAGCAUCAUAGCAGAAUGGUGUAGAGGAGCAAAGCAGCAAGAGGACAUGGCAACGAGGGAGCAGAGAAAGAGAGCUUUGCUCACCAGGGACAAAAUAUAAACCUCAAAGACAUACCCCCAGAGAUUGACUUCCUCUAGCAACACUCUACCUGCCUACAGUUACCCCAGUUAACCCAUAUCAGUAGAUUAAUAUUCUGUUUAGGUUAAAGCUCUCAUAAUCUAAUCAUUUCACCUCUAAAUAUUCUCAUACAUGGACUUUUGGGGAACACCUUAUAUCUAAACUUUUAUAGACAUCAAGCAUGAACCUUGCCAUCGAUGAGGAAAAUAUUACUUUGUCCUCCCUACUUUGGGAAAGCUACCAUUUAUUCUCUAUAACUGUUCAUGUGAUCUCUUUCCCAUUUCAUUGUCCACCAAGAAAGAAAAACUACCAUUAUGUACCAAAAUGGGUUAUUCAAAAGUAUUGGACAAGGUAAAAAGAAGAAUUAGCUUCAUCCUAAAUGUCAAAGAUUUAAUGAUUUCUUCCUUGAGACUUUUUUUUUUUUUUUUGACUCCAAGAAACUCGUAAGACAGUGCAGGACAGGCCUAAGCAUGGCUUCUGCACACCAAACUCUCCUGAUGCUGAGCUGCUACAUAUAGACACACCCACUCCUGAUCCUUCUAGCAGUCUCGUGAAGCAUCCUU
Molecule: long non-coding RNA, 1156 nt
Filed under: Marmota monax (woodchuck)
Lineage: Eukaryota; Metazoa; Chordata; Mammalia; Rodentia; Sciuridae
Source: RNAcentral